Oreochromis niloticus (Nile tilapia) is the source of this 1179-nucleotide long non-coding RNA. RefSeq lists it as uncharacterized. The record is from RefSeq and is a predicted model, not a curated record. The transcript is spliced from 3 exons. NCBI's taxonomy places the organism in Eukaryota, Metazoa, Chordata, Actinopteri, Cichliformes, Cichlidae.
GAGAGUGCUUAGAUGUGCAUAUGAGUGUAAGAGGAGCCAGAUCCCUUCACAAGCCUCACCACAUGCUGUGCCACCUUCGUCACCAAAGGAGGACUGGGUCAUGCUUUAAAACUUUUACCUGCUCCUCUGCUGCCUUUCAUUCCCCUUACAGACCUCCAGCAUAUCAACACCCUCCUCGCCUGUGACCUCAAAGAAGCAGCAAGGCGCUUGCCGUCGUUUUCCCUCUGAAGGUGCUAUCUCAACUUGGACAACAAGAUGUGCAGGCGGACACACACAAAUCUACGUUGGCCUGCUCUCCUAGCAUGCGCAGGUGACUGUGUGUCUCAGCAUCCGGUGGCAAUGAGGUGGUGCUUCCAGAGCAGCCUACAAAAGAAGAACCAGUGCGAUGGAUAUUGUGAAACCUGUAUUAGAAAAGCACUGACAAGUUGCUGAUAGCUCGAGCAAUCUGCCUCGUUUGGAGGAUCUUAAGGAGCCUCAUAGCUGGACUGUAAAUAAUUUGUUCCUAACAUCCUUGUCUGCCAUUCAAAAUGAUUUAUCAAAUCAGUUAUUUAAUGGUCUUGCUUCUACAACAUCAGUUUUGCUCGAGGACCAUGACUGAAACUGACCGAUAACACUUUUGACAAAGGUUUGUAACCUGGAGUAAGAGACUGCCCGUGGGGGUUUGUCUUUAUGCCUUCCACCAGAAUGACAAUUAUUUUUAAUAAAUGGUUUACAUAAAAAAGUCUCACAUCACCUUUUUCUAAACCCAACUUAUUUUAUUUUAUUUAGUCUUAUUUAGUUUUGUUGUACUGUGUUGUAUUUUAAUUUCUUUUACCUAAACUUAACCAAAUUCUGACUCUCAACCGAAUCCUUUUUAAAAUAUUACAUCCACUGAGCACAAAUGAAUAAUUCCACAUUUUCUUUUGGUCUGAGGACAAAAAACCCCCACAGGACACAGACGCCAGUGUCGGGGGUUAAUGUUCUGUGUUUUAACCACCCCCGUUUACUGUUUGUACUACAGAGUUGCAUUUUAUAUUUUUCCGAGCUCUAACAUCCCAACACUGCGGUUGGUUGGUUGCAGUGAUAGUUCAGGAGCAACAUUAAUAUAAUAUUAUAGGAAUAACCCCAACAUUAUGGUAUCAGAUAUGUGGUAUAUCCCUGCAAUGACAUGUGUGUAUGCUCUCUUUCUUUUCUACAUUU